This 440-nucleotide ribosomal RNA is filed under the name uncultured bacterium. RNAcentral's name for it is "partial 16S ribosomal RNA". It matches the Rfam family "Bacterial small subunit ribosomal RNA", at positions 338 to 795 of the family's 1533-position model. The record is from RNAcentral.
CCUACGGGAGGCAGCAGUGGGGAAUAUUGCACAAUGGGGGAAACCCUGAUGCAGCGACGCCGCGUGAGUGAAGAAGUAUUUCGGUACGUAAAGCUCUAUCAGCAGGGAAGAAAAUGACGGUACCUGACUAAGAAGCCCCGGCUAACUACGUGACAGCAGCCGCGGUAAUACGUAGGGGGCAAGCGUUAUCCGGAUUUACUGGGUGUAAAGGGAGCGUAGACGGCAGCGCAAGUCUGGAGUGAAAUCCCAUGGCUUAACCAUGGAACUGCUUUGGAAACUGUGCAGCUAGAGUGCAGGAGAGGUAAGCGGAAUUCCUAGUGUAGCGGUGAAAUGCGUAGAUAUUAGGAGGAACACCAGUGGCGAAGGCGGCUUACUGGACUGUAACUGACGUUGAGGCUCGAAAGCGUGGGGAGCAAACAGGAUUAGAUACCCCUGUAGUC